AGAAACAGGCUUGUCGGAGGAGCUAAUGCCCAUCUGUAUCUAUUCUCAUGGGUGUAAAACUGUUGGGAGAAGCAUCAGAAAAGAUCUUGUUCAAGUCAUGUAGAGCCCCCUCUGCACCAGAGCUCAGUGGCUCUGCUGACACAGGCUGGUGAGUGGAGAAGGGGCCUUUAACCCUCAGUUUGUGGGUGAUCCUCACGUUGUAGGCUCUACUUCUGGAUUCUUAAUUCUGCAUGCCUGCUUUCUAACUUUUAGAGCUCUGGUCCUACAUCCCUUCAUGUCAUAGGCCUGGGGUCUUGGCCUGUGUGUGCUGUCCACUCCUAGGCAAUGCAGAGGUGAGAGACAACCAGGAGAAA
RNAcentral lists this long non-coding RNA (353 nucleotides) under Bos taurus (domestic cattle). Its description in RNAcentral is "long non-coding RNA NONBTAT009317". The record is from RNAcentral. Lineage: Eukaryota; Metazoa; Chordata; Mammalia; Artiodactyla; Bovidae.